RNAcentral lists this ribosomal RNA (250 nucleotides) under uncultured bacterium. RNAcentral's name for it is "partial 16S ribosomal RNA". It matches the Rfam family "Bacterial small subunit ribosomal RNA", at positions 524 to 771 of the family's 1533-position model. The record is from RNAcentral.
UACGGAGGGAGCUAGCGUUGUUCGGAAUUACUGGGCGUAAAGCGCACGUAGGCGGCUUUGUAAGUUAGAGGUGAAAGCCCGGGGCUCAACCCCGGAAAUUGCCUUUAAGACUGCAUCGCUUGAAUCCGGGAGAGGUGAGUGGAAUUCCGAGUGUAGAGGUGAAAUUCGUAGAUAUUCGGAAGAACACCAGUGGCGAAGGCGGCUCACUGGACCGGUAUUGACGCUGAGGUGCGAAAGCGUGGGGGAGCAA